This 305-nucleotide unclassified non-coding RNA is filed under the name plant metagenome. Its description in RNAcentral is "partial contains 5.8S ribosomal RNA, internal transcribed spacer 2, and large subunit ribosomal RNA". The stretch from base 1 to 105 matches the Rfam family "5.8S ribosomal RNA", at positions 50 to 154 of the family's 154-position model. The record is from RNAcentral.
GAAAUGCGAUAAGUAGUGUGAAUUGCAGAAUUCAGUGAAUCAUCGAAUCUUUGAACGCACAUUGCGCCCCUUGGUAUUCCAUGGGGCAUGCCUGUUCGAGCGUCAUCUACACCCUCAAGCUCUGCUUGGUGUUGGGCGUCUGUCCCGCCCCCGCGCGUGGACUCGCCCCAAAUCCAUUGGCAGCGUUCUUUGCCCCCUCUCGCGCAGCACAUUGCGCUUCUCGAGGGCGGCUCCGGGACGCGAUCCAGCAAGAUGACCACCGUCUUUGACCUCGGAUCAGGUAGGGAUACCCGCUGAACUUAAGC